AGCAUGUUAGCUCAGGGGAAGAGCGGUAUUUACCCACGUGACCUACAUAUUUGGAGUAUACAAGCUAACAUAUAAUAGCCGGGCUCAUAACCCGGAGGACCCUGGAUCGAAACCAGGACAUGCUA
Molecule: transfer RNA, 125 nt
Filed under: Aspergillus sojae NBRC 4239
Lineage: Eukaryota; Fungi; Ascomycota; Eurotiomycetes; Eurotiales; Aspergillaceae
Description: tRNA-iMet (CAT) (tRNA-iMet-CAT-5-1)
Source: RNAcentral